Molecule: ribosomal RNA, 240 nt
Filed under: uncultured bacterium
Lineage: Bacteria
Description: partial 16S ribosomal RNA
Rfam family: Bacterial small subunit ribosomal RNA
Source: RNAcentral
CGAACGCUGGCGGCGUGCUUAACACAUGCAAGUCACGGGGGCCCGCAAGGGUAACCGGCGAACGGGUGCGUAACACGUGAGCAAUCUGCCGUCCACUGGGGGAUAGCCGGCCCAACGGCCGGGUAAUACCGCAUACGUUCAUCGGGUGGCAUCACCUGAUGAGGAAACCUCCGGGGGUGGACGAGGAGCUCGCGGCCUAUCAGCUAGUUGGUGGGGUAAUGGCCUACCAAGGCGAUGACG